This 253-nucleotide ribosomal RNA is filed under the name uncultured bacterium. RNAcentral's name for it is "partial 16S ribosomal RNA". It matches the Rfam family "Bacterial small subunit ribosomal RNA", at positions 524 to 776 of the family's 1533-position model. The record is from RNAcentral.
GACGUACCACCCGAACGUUUUUCGGAUUCACUGGGCUUACAGAGUCCGUUGGCGGUCAAGAAAGUUAGGCGUGAAAUCCCUCAGCUCAACUGAGGAAUAGCGCUUAAAACUACUUGGCUAGAGAGAGUCAGAGGUGAGCGGAACUGAUGGUGGAGCGGUGAAAUGCGUUGAUAUCAUCAGGAACACCGGUGGCGAAAGCGGCUCACUGGGGCUUUUCUGACGCUGAGGGACGAAAGCUAGGGGAGCGAACGGG